GGGCUUGCCCUGGGGCGAAGCCGCGAACGGGUGAGUAACACGUGGGUAACCUGCCCCGAUGACUGGGAUAACCCGAGGAAACUCGGGCUAAUACCGGAUGUGCCCUACCGGCGUAAGCCGGCAUGGGAAAGGAAGCUUCGGCCUCCGCAUCGGGAGGGGCCCGCGGCCCAUUAGCUUGUUGGUGAGGUAAAGGCUCACCAAGGCAACAAUGGGUAGCUGGUCUGAGAGGACGAUCAGCCACACUGGGACUGAGACACGGCCCAGACUCCUACGGGAGGCAGCAGUGGGGAAUCUUGCGCAAUGCGCGAAAGCGUGACGCAGCAACGCCGCGUGGGGGAAGAAGGCCUUCGGGUUGUAAACCCCUUUCAGGAGGGACGAAGGUGUGGCGGCGAAUAGCCGACCAUACUGACGGUACCUCCAGAAGAAGCCCCGGCUAACUACGUGCCAGCAGCCGCGGUAAUACGUAGGGGGCUAGCGUUGUCCGGAAUCAUUGGGCGUAAAGCGCGCGUAGGCGGCCCGGUAAGUCCGUUGUGAAAGUCAAAGGCUCAACCUUUGAAUGCCGAUGGAUACUGCCGGGCUAGAGUCCGGAAGAGGCGAGUGGAAUUCCUGGUGUAGCGGUGGAAUGCGCAGAUAUCAGGAGGAACACCGAUAGCGAAGGCAGCUCGCUGGGACGGUACUGACGCUAAGGCGCGAAAGCGUGGGGA
RNAcentral lists this ribosomal RNA (704 nucleotides) under uncultured Actinomycetes bacterium. Its description in RNAcentral is "bacterial SSU rRNA". It matches the Rfam family "Bacterial small subunit ribosomal RNA", at positions 76 to 767 of the family's 1533-position model. The record is from RNAcentral. Lineage: Bacteria; Bacillati; Actinomycetota; Actinomycetes.